CCUACGGGAGGCAGCAGUGAGGAAUAUUGGUCAAUGGACGAGAGACUGAACCAGCCAAGUAGCGUGAAGGAGGACUGCACUGUGGGUUGUAAACUUCUUUUAUCAAGGAAUAAAACGAGGCACGUGUGCCUGUUUGCAUGUACUUGAUGAAUAAGCAUCGGCUAACUCCGUGCCAGCAGCCGCGGUAAUACGGAGGAUCCGAGCGUUAUCCGGAUUUAUUGGGUUUAAAGGGAGCGUAGAUGGGUUGUUAAGUCAGUGGUGAAAGUCUGCGGCUCAACCGUCAAACUGCAAUUGAUACUGGCAGUCUCGAGUACAGUUGAGGUAGGCGGAAUGCGUGGUGUAGCGGUGAAAUGCUUAGAUAUCACGAAGAACCCCGAUUGCGAAGGCAGCUUACUAACCUCUGACUGACAUUGAUGCACGAAAGUGUGGGUAUCAAACAGGAUUAGAUACCCUUGUAGUC
RNAcentral lists this ribosomal RNA (460 nucleotides) under uncultured bacterium. Its description in RNAcentral is "partial 16S ribosomal RNA". It matches the Rfam family "Bacterial small subunit ribosomal RNA", at positions 338 to 795 of the family's 1533-position model. The record is from RNAcentral.